UGAUGUUUGGACUCUUUCAGGUGUGCUGGCCGGCCAUGACAACCGAGUAAGCUGUCUGGGUGUAACCAAUGACGGUAUGGCAGUGGCUACAGGGUCCUGGGACAGCUUCCUCAAGAUCUGGAACUGAACGCUGAAGGUGCUUUCAAUACAACAUGUCCGAUACAAUAUCAUUUGAACUCCAAAGUUGACUGGAAGACCAUUCCAACUUUAGAAUGUUAAAUUUCACAGCAUCGUCAACAACAAAACACCUUAUAAAACUGACUGACACCACCAUGAAAAGAAAUAAAACUUCUAAGGGAAAACAAUGCCUUUCCUACACCAAGAAGAGCACAAUUUGUUUUAUCACCCAGCUUAAAAAAGAAAGAA
Long non-coding RNA from Sinocyclocheilus anshuiensis, 366 nucleotides. RefSeq lists it as uncharacterized. The transcript is spliced from 2 exons. The record is from RefSeq and is a predicted model, not a curated record. NCBI's taxonomy places the organism in Eukaryota, Metazoa, Chordata, Actinopteri, Cypriniformes, Cyprinidae.